GUCUACUGCCAGAAUACAAAUAUGUAAUUUUUCAGUAUGUUUUUGUGAACGAGAGGAACAAAAGUUAUUUUAAACUUCUCUCUUUUUUUCCUCCUCCCUUUGAGGUUACGGCUGUAAUGAAAUACCCCAAAUGUCAUUUAUUCCUCUCUGCUCUGCUUUCAGUAUGAGUCUCCAAGGAACAAGCAACAUCUUUUGUGGAAAAAGGGUAUCUGAAACCUAUUCUGAGUACUGCAAAUGGUGAAAUAAGAAUGACAGUAAAAGAAACAGGAUAAACGGUGUCUACUGAGAAAGCUCCCAUGGAACUGCUGAGUGAGGAUCGCUGACGCUCACUCACAUAAUUAUGAAACUUAGUGAAGAUGAGCUGUCAGGAGAUCUCUAAUUAGAUAGUGCAGCAAACCCCAAACUCACUUUCCUACGUGCAUUACCAAGGGGCGUUACCUUAGAGAAGCUGGUGUGUUGUUCUCCCAGUGAAAUGGCCAAGGAAAGAUUUGGACAGGUAAAAAAAACCCAUGGAAAGCUUUUGAGGGCUGGAAUGUAUUGCUUUAGUGGAAUAUGUCUCCAUGGGCUGGCAAUACGAAAGAUGUGAAGGACUUCCUGUGUGGCUGACGAUCUGAAGGGAAGAGCCACAGAAGGUAUUUCAUACCUCUCUAUAGUUUAUGUGACCUUCUUUAAGGUCUGCUGAUGAAAAGUGCUAAAAUAAUCUAUUAAGGGUUGGAUGUUGUUAUUGCAAUUAUCUGCUUUUGCCAAGCUUGAUCUAAUGAUGCUGCAGCCAGGAGCAGAUUUGUGUUGCUCAACA
RNAcentral lists this long non-coding RNA (796 nucleotides) under Corvus moneduloides (New Caledonian crow). RNAcentral's name for it is "lncRNA (ENSCMUG00000019948.1)". The record is from RNAcentral. Lineage: Eukaryota; Metazoa; Chordata; Aves; Passeriformes; Corvidae.